Molecule: ribosomal RNA, 465 nt
Filed under: uncultured bacterium
Lineage: Bacteria
Description: partial 16S ribosomal RNA
Rfam family: Bacterial small subunit ribosomal RNA
Source: RNAcentral
GACGAACGCUGGCGGCGUGCUUAACACAUGCAAGUCGAACGGAAAGUCCCCAUUUGGGGUACUCAAGUGGCGAACGGGUGAGUAACACGUGCGUAACCUGCCUUUCACUUCGGGAUAACUACCUGAAACUAGGGCUAAUACCGGCUAGAUAUCCUUGCAGCAUAGAUGGGGUUGAAAAGCUUCGGCGGUUUUGGCUGGCACGUCGGCUUAUCCGCGUGGUGGUGGGGUAGUGGUUUACCAAGGCGUUGACGGGUAGCCGGCCUGGGGGGGCGACCGGCCACAUGGGGCCUAAGAGACGGCCCAGAAUCGUACGGGAGGCAGCAGUGGGGAAUCUUGCGCAAUGGGCGGAAGCCUGAUGCAGCAACGCUGCGGGCGGGAUGACGGCUUUCGAGUUGUGAACCGCUUUCAGCAGGGGCGAAGCUUGUGGUGACGGUACCUGCAGAAGAAGCAACGGCUAACUACGUG